This 372-nucleotide ribosomal RNA is filed under the name uncultured organism. RNAcentral's name for it is "bacterial SSU rRNA". It matches the Rfam family "Bacterial small subunit ribosomal RNA", at positions 526 to 896 of the family's 1533-position model. The record is from RNAcentral.
CGGAGGGUGCGAGCGUUGUCCGGAAUCAUUGGGCGUAAAGGGCGCGUAGGUGGCCUGCUAAGCGUGCGGUGAAAGCUCGGGGCUCAACCCCGAGUCGGCCGUGCGAACUGGUGGGCUUGAGCACUGUAGAGGCAGGCGGAAUUCCGGGUGUAGCGUUGGAAUGCGUAGAGAUCCGGAAGAACACCGGUGGCGAAGGCGGCCUGCUGGGCAGUAGCUGACACUGAGGCGCGACAGCGUGGGGAGCAAACAGGAUUAGAUACCCUGGUAGUCCACGCCGUAAACGAUGGGCACUAGGCGCUUGGGGGAGCGACCCCCCGAGGGCCGGCGCUAACGCAUUAAGUGCCCCGCCUGGGGAGUACGGCCGCAAGGCUG